GCUUGCUUUUCUUAUUUAGUGGCGGACGGGUGAGUAACGCGUGAGGAACCUGCCUUUCAGAGGGGGAUAACGUCUGGAAACGGACGCUAAUACCGCAUGACAUCUUUGGGUCACAUGGUCUGAAGAUCAAAGGAGCAAUCCGCUGAGAGAUGGACUCGCGUCCGAUUAGCCAGUUGGCGGGGUAACGGCCCACCAAAGCAACGAUCGGUAGCCGGGCUGAGAGGCUGAACGGCCACAUUGGGACUGAGACACGGCCCAGACUCCUACGGGAGGCAGCAGUGGGGGAUAUUGCACAAUGGAGGAAACUCUGAUGCAGCAACGCCGCGUGAGGGAAGAAGGUUUUCGGAUUGUAAACCUCUGUCCCCGGUGACGAUAAUGACGGUAGCCGAGGAGGAAGCUCCGGCUAACUACGUGCCAGCAGCCGCGGUAAUACGUAGGGAGCGAGCGUUGUCCGGAUUUACUGGGUGUAAAGGGUGCGUAGGCGGCACUGCAAGUCAGGUGUGAAAACUAUGGGCUUAACCCAUAGCAUGCACUUGAAACUGUGGUGCUUGAGUGGAGUAGAGGCAGGCGGAAUUCCCGGUGUAGCGGUGAAAUGCGUAGAGAUCGGGAGGAACACCAGUGGCGAAGGCGGCCUGCUGGGCUUUAACUGACGCUGAAGCACGAAAGCAUGGGUAGCAAACAGGAUUAGAUACCCUGGUAGUCCAUGCCGUAAACGAUGAUUACUAGGUGUGGGGGGUCUGACCCCUUCCGUGCCGGAGUUAACACAAUAAGUAAUCCACCUGGGAAGUACGACCGCAAGGUUGAAACUCAAAGGAAUUGACGGGGGCCCGCACAAGCAGUGGAGUAUGUGGUUUAAUUCGAAGCAACGCGAAGAACCUUACCAGGUCUUGACAUCCAACUAACGAGGCAGAGAUGCGUCAGGUGCCCUUCGGGGAAAGUUGAGACAGGUGGUGCAUGGUUGUCGUCAGCUCGUGUCGUGAGAUGUUGGGUUAAGUCCCGCAACGAGCGCAACCCUUGUGAUUAGUUGCUACGCAAGAGCACUCUAAUCAGACUGC
RNAcentral lists this ribosomal RNA (1055 nucleotides) under uncultured Clostridiaceae bacterium. RNAcentral describes it as "bacterial SSU rRNA". It matches the Rfam family "Bacterial small subunit ribosomal RNA", at positions 78 to 1152 of the family's 1533-position model. Lineage: Bacteria; Bacillati; Bacillota; Clostridia; Eubacteriales; Clostridiaceae. The record is from RNAcentral.